GUUCCCAGCCGCCACUUCACCCACUGCAAUUCAUUUAGGAGCAGGUUACAGGAGCGGCUCCGGCCAGGCGUUCUCAGGCCUGAGCCGGAGCCUCGAGGGCUGGAGAGAGAGAGAAGGCAGCGCAGUGCGCGGGCAACCGCGGCGGGACGUCACCUGGGGGGCGGUGGCCGCAGGGACAGGCCCGGAGAGAUACCCGCAGCAGGGAGGCUGCGCGGGCCCAGCCCGCGGACGCUAGCCCCACGCGGCACUGCGGCCUGGGGGCCACGCGGGAGGGCCCCAGUGCACUUAGGGACACUGGGGACACUUGACCCGAACCGCAGGCCCCUGGGACGGGCAUUGAUAGACAGGACAGCACCCAGGGGAGUCAAGGACAUGGGCGAGACCAGGCUAGGCGGGGCGGGGGGGGUGGCGUGAGUGUGCAUUCUCGGGGGAAGGGAGGUCAGGGCGCAGGCAGGGGCAAGGGGCCGGAGCCGGGCACCGAGCUGGUGGGAGGGGCACUGGACUUCGAGCUCGUGGCCAAGGCGGGCUUCUGCGGGCGAUGACGGAGCGGGAUCGGUGCCUCUGAGCUCGGACCAGAGACGAUGCCACGUCUUAGUGGGGUGGUCGUGCCUGCCAGUCACGGAGGCCGGGCGGCCAGGACGUGCGCAGAGUGAUAUGAUAUGGUCCGGCGUGAUGGAGAGAGUAGGUGGGACCGUCCAGCCUACCAGAAUACUGUCAGCUGGCCCCGCGAGGAGUCGGGAUAUCUCUGUUCUUUUAGUCUCCUGAAGGAGCAAACACAGUACUGCUGCUCUUCAGACCCCCAGAACCCUCAAGAUGACAAGGUGAGAGGUCCCUGCCACACACUGGGCGGGGGGGGGGGCGGCACGGGCCCCAGAGGUGGGCACUCACGCUCUCCUAUCCCCGCAGAAAUGGUGCUACCCAGCUCAUGCCUGGGACUUGGAACAUGGACUUCUUCAAGUCUU
RNAcentral lists this long non-coding RNA (962 nucleotides) under Cervus hanglu yarkandensis (Yarkand deer). RNAcentral describes it as "lncRNA (ENSCHYG00000002562.1)". The record is from RNAcentral. Lineage: Eukaryota; Metazoa; Chordata; Mammalia; Artiodactyla; Cervidae.